RNAcentral lists this ribosomal RNA (112 nucleotides) under Atoxoplasma sp. MS-2003. Its description in RNAcentral is "partial large subunit ribosomal RNA". The record is from RNAcentral. Lineage: Eukaryota; Apicomplexa; Conoidasida; Eucoccidiorida; Eimeriidae.
AAACUCUUGUGUGCCCUUGGGUGCCCCUGGGUGUGUGUGCGUCUGCACUUUUAGUGUUCUGUUAUGAAGAAGCUAGUUGUGCUUGUAUGGCUUUCUCCCAGUAGAUCCCUUG